Molecule: non-coding RNA, 29 nt
Filed under: Homo sapiens (human)
Lineage: Eukaryota; Metazoa; Chordata; Mammalia; Primates; Hominidae
Source: RNAcentral
UCACUGUCUUGUUCUGCUGUCUUUGUGUA